This 253-nucleotide ribosomal RNA is filed under the name uncultured bacterium. RNAcentral's name for it is "partial 16S ribosomal RNA". It matches the Rfam family "Bacterial small subunit ribosomal RNA", at positions 524 to 776 of the family's 1533-position model. The record is from RNAcentral.
UACGUAGGGUGCAAGCGUUGUCCGGAAUUAUUGGGCGUAAAGAGCUCGUAGGCGGUUUGUCGCGUCGGCUGUGAAAACCCGAGGCUCAACCUCGGGCCUGCAGUCGAUACGGGCAAACUAGAGUGCGGUAGGGGAGACUGGAAUUCCUGGUGUAGCGGUGAAAUGCGCAGAUAUCAGGAGGAACACCGGCGGCGAAGGUGGGUCUCUGGGCCGUAACUGACGCUGAGGAGCGAAAGCGUGGGGAGCGAACAGG